CACUUUUGAAUCAGUAUCCCUUGCUUUUAGGAAUUGAAUCGUAUCCUCUUUUUUCAACAAUUGAAUGGCACUUUCAGCAAUUGAAUUAGUCAAGAGAAGAUACACUUUAUAUAAAUUGCAUCUCUUCUGUCAGCCGAUUAAAACCCUAAAAUGUUGAACUCUCUCAAUCGGCGACCAACGCCUACCAGUAGAAGAUGUAGAUGACGACCAGGCAAAUAUCUAUAGAUUACACCUGCCUUCACUCAUAUCUCCCCCAUACAACUCUUGGGGCAACUGAUUGCACAACAACAGAUAUACAAUCGAGUUGCUUCGGGUCAAACACGAUCCAACGCCACAGUCAAACAGCCAUCUCUCUCACAACCACCGUUUCCCGUCAUUGCCAAGACCUACACAUGUUUGAUAACAUGAAAUCUACCUAAAAGAAUCCACCUUGAUCUCUUUAUCGCCCAAUCGGUUGUUUUUUCAAUUAGACAUAUGUUAUGCUGCUUUUUAGUUAUAAGAUAAUUGUUUGUGUUAUUAUUUUUGUCGUUGUGAUGAAAAUUUUGGAGCUCUGGAGAAGUCGGAGGGAUGAUUUAUAGAUUCCAGUGAGUCUGAUGUGUGUUUUAAAGCAAAGUAGGUUCACGAGUUCUGAUUUCUUUUUCUUUUUUUGUUGCAGGUUACUAGGUAAAAGUUUAGUAUUUUUUUAAUGUUAUUAGCAAAGCCCCUUUUGGUGUCGUAUCACCUCGACCAUUCCCGUCGUCUUCCUAUGAUUUAUGGUCGAGUCUUUAAAGGCCAUCCUUCAAUCUGGGUCAAAGUGAAACAUAUCAUAGUUGUGAAUGGAAAGCUGUUGAUGGGCAAAAUUGGCAGAAACAAGUAUGGAAGCGGGCUUUUGACAUACAUUUUUCUUAAUUUUCUCGUGUUUUGUGCUUGGAUUUAACCCUCUUUCUUGUGUUUGGUUAUUAUUGUCAAGAAAAUAUACAUGGACUUUAAGGUGUACUCUGGAUACUGUUUUUGCUACUGAUGAAAGUGUAUUUUUGACAUACAUUUUUUCUAAUAUUCCUAUGUUUUGUUCAUACAUAUGGUUGAAUAUCACAAAUCAGUUAUUUGAUGUUUUCAUCCCUUUGGAAGUGAAAUAUCAAUAUUUGUUAAGUUGUAUGAUUAUUGUUGUAGUUUUCUUAUUUCCAUCGUUAAUGCUUAAUACACUUGAAAUCUUGAAUCUUGAUAGGCUACAUGUGAGAAUCUGACUAGAAAGAGAAGAAUUAUGAUGAUCUGAGGGUUCUUCUAUUGAAUUCUUGAAGUAUGUACAUUUUUUACACUUACAAACACUAAAACUGGAGCUUUUUACUUCAUCACAAGCUGCUUUUUAUCACCUUUUUGUUUUGAUUACUUUUUUUUUAUAUUUAGUUAUCAGGGGUUUAUUUAUUGUUCAAAUGCAAAUAACAAAAAACUAUUAAGUUUUUUUUUUAUUCCUGUUGAAGUAUUGGUGCCUCACGAAAGCAAAUUGUUAUUUACAGGUAAGUGUUUUUUUUUUAUUUUAUUUUUUAAAUUCCGGUUAAAAUAUUGAAAUUUGCUCAUAUGCAGGUAAGUACAUGCAGGGACGGAGGAUUGAGACAGUUUGCCUCUAUUUGAUAAUCAUUAAGUUUAUUCUCAUAUAUGGUUCAUUUGUGAAUAAUAUUCUUGGUAUUAUUGGAUCCAUAUCUUAAUUAUGCAGUAUAGUUAAUGUUGCAUUGCAUAAGCUCUGUUAUGAUUGAUUAAGACACCAGUUGUUUUCAUAAUGGUUUUUUUUUUUUUUUUGAAAGAAACCAAUAAAAUGAUGAAAUUGUGCAUAAAUUAAUAUGAUGGAGUUAAA
RNAcentral lists this long non-coding RNA (1828 nucleotides) under Lactuca sativa (garden lettuce). RNAcentral's name for it is "long non-coding RNA (LSAT_LNC009354)". Lineage: Eukaryota; Viridiplantae; Streptophyta; Magnoliopsida; Asterales; Asteraceae. The record is from RNAcentral.